Molecule: ribosomal RNA, 253 nt
Filed under: uncultured bacterium
Lineage: Bacteria
Description: partial 16S ribosomal RNA
Rfam family: Bacterial small subunit ribosomal RNA
Source: RNAcentral
UACGGAGGGUGCGAGCGUUGUCCGGAAUCAUUGGGCGUAAAGCGCACGUAGUCGGCUUUGCAAGUCGGGUGUGAAAUCCCCGGGCUCAACCUGGGAACUGCAUCCGAGACUGCAUUGCUAGAGUAUGGGAGAGGGAAGCGGAAUUUCUGGUGUAGCAGUGAAAUGCGUAGAUAUCAGAAGGAACAUCAGUGGCGAAGGCGGCUUCCUGGACCAAUACUGACGAUCAGGUGCGAAAGCGUGGGGAGCAAACAGG